AGAUUAAGUUAUUAAGGGCGCACGGUGGAUGCCUUGGCACUAGAAGCCGAUGAAGGACGUUACUAACGACGAUAUGCUUUGGGGAGCUGUAAGUAAGCUUUGAUCCAGAGAUUUCCGAAUGGGGAAACCCAGCAUGAGUUAUGU
RNAcentral lists this ribosomal RNA (144 nucleotides) under Staphylococcus aureus. Its description in RNAcentral is "partial 23S ribosomal RNA". It matches the Rfam family "Bacterial large subunit ribosomal RNA", at positions 1 to 143 of the family's 2925-position model. The record is from RNAcentral. Lineage: Bacteria; Bacillati; Bacillota; Bacilli; Caryophanales; Staphylococcaceae.